GGGCCCGUGGCAUAGCCUGGAGAGACCUCAAUGGUCUCGGGCAAUUAUUGCGCCGCUCUGAUAAGGCGGAUGUCGCGUGUUCAAAUCACGCCGGGCCCACCA
This 102-nucleotide transfer RNA is filed under the name Candidatus Thorarchaeota archaeon. Its description in RNAcentral is "tRNA-Ile". It matches the Rfam family "tRNA". From Rfam's summary of the family: Transfer RNA (tRNA) molecules are approximately 80 nucleotides in length. Their secondary structure includes four short double-helical elements and three loops (D, anti-codon, and T loops). Further hydrogen bonds mediate the characteristic L-shaped molecular structure. tRNAs have two regions of fundamental functional importance: the anti-codon, which is responsible for specific mRNA codon recognition, and the 3' end, to which the tRNAs corresponding amino acid is attached (by aminoacyl-tRNA synthetases). tRNAs cope with the degeneracy of the genetic code in two manners: having more than one tRNA (with a specific anti-codon) for a particular amino acid; and 'wobble' base-pairing, i.e. permitting non-standard base-pairing at the 3rd anti-codon position. The record is from RNAcentral. Lineage: Archaea; Promethearchaeati; Candidatus Thorarchaeota.